CCUACGGGUGGCAGCAGUGAGGAAUAUUGGUCCAUGGGCGCGAGCCUGAACCAGCCAAGUCGCGUGAAGGACUACUGCCCUACGGGUUGUAAACUUCUUUUAUAAAGGAAUAAAGUGAGGCACGUGUGCCUUUUUGUAUGUACUUUAUGAAUAAGGAUCGGGUAACCCCGUUCCCGCAGCCGCGGUAAUACGGAGGAUCCAGGCGUUAUCCGGAUUUAUUGGGUUUAAAGGGAGGGUAGAUGGGGUGUUAAGUCAGUUGUGAAAGUUUGCGGUUCAACCGUAAAAUUGCCAUUGAUACUGGCAGUCUUGAGUACAGUUGAGGUAGGCGGAAUUCGUGGUGUAGCGGUGAAAUGCAUAGAUAUCACGAAGAACUCCGAUUGCGAAGGCAGCUUACUAACCUGCCACUGACAUUGAUGCUCGAAAGUGUGGGUAUCAAACAGGAUUAGAUACCCUGGUAGUC
RNAcentral lists this ribosomal RNA (460 nucleotides) under uncultured bacterium. RNAcentral describes it as "partial 16S ribosomal RNA". It matches the Rfam family "Bacterial small subunit ribosomal RNA", at positions 338 to 795 of the family's 1533-position model. The record is from RNAcentral.